GGAAUUGUGGCUUAGUGGUAAAGCACUUGCUUGAUAUGUAUGAGGCACUGGGUUUGAUUCUCAGCACCA
This is a non-coding RNA of Ictidomys tridecemlineatus (thirteen-lined ground squirrel), 69 nucleotides long. The record is from Rfam. NCBI's taxonomy places the organism in Eukaryota, Metazoa, Chordata, Mammalia, Rodentia, Sciuridae.